Molecule: non-coding RNA, 192 nt
Organism: Vicia faba (fava bean)
Lineage: Eukaryota; Viridiplantae; Streptophyta; Magnoliopsida; Fabales; Fabaceae
Source: the annotation of a GenBank genome assembly
AUGAGGAACAGAUUUUGGACAAACAAACAUGAGAAGAAGAGAGAAAAACAUAGACAAAGCACACGCAUGCACAGUAGUAGUAUAGUCUCAAGUCUCAACCACCAAAUUGAAAGAGAAUCAAAACAUAUCAAAUCAAAAACCACAUGUGAACAACAUGAACAUGAAUAUGAAAUUUAUCUAACUAUAAUAUAA